UACAGAGGUCUCGAGCGUUGUUCGGAUUUAUUGGGCGUAAAGGGUGCGUAGGCGGUAUGGCAAGUCAAGUGUGAAAUCUCGGAGCUCAACUUCGAAACUGCACUUGAUACUACUAUGCUAGAGGGUUGUAGAGGAGACCGGAAUUCACGGUGUAGCAGUGAAAUGCGUAGAUAUCGUGAGGAAGACCAGUUGCGAAAGCGGGUCUCUGGGCAAUUCCUGACGCUGAGGCACGAAAGCGUGGGGAGCAAACAGG
RNAcentral lists this ribosomal RNA (253 nucleotides) under uncultured bacterium. RNAcentral describes it as "partial 16S ribosomal RNA". It matches the Rfam family "Bacterial small subunit ribosomal RNA", at positions 524 to 776 of the family's 1533-position model. The record is from RNAcentral.